RNAcentral lists this ribosomal RNA (253 nucleotides) under uncultured bacterium. Its description in RNAcentral is "partial 16S ribosomal RNA". It matches the Rfam family "Bacterial small subunit ribosomal RNA", at positions 524 to 776 of the family's 1533-position model. The record is from RNAcentral.
UACGGGGGGGGCAAGCGUUGUUCGGAAUUACUGGGCGUAAAGGGCUUGUAGGUGGCCAACUAAGUCAGACGUGAAAUCCCUCGGCUUAACCGGGGAACUGCGUCUGAUACUGGAUGGCUGGAGUGUGGGAGAGGGAUGCGGAAUUCUCGGUGUAGCGGUGAAAUGCGUAGAUAUCGAGAGGAACACCUGCGGCGAAGGCGGGUUGCUGGGCCGACACUGACGCUGAUGCGCGAAAGCCAGGGGAGCGAACGGG